RNAcentral lists this ribosomal RNA (478 nucleotides) under uncultured bacterium. RNAcentral's name for it is "partial 16S ribosomal RNA". It matches the Rfam family "Bacterial small subunit ribosomal RNA", at positions 28 to 523 of the family's 1533-position model. The record is from RNAcentral.
GACGAACGCUGGCGGCGUGCUUAACACAUGCAAGUCGAACGGUAAGGCCCUUCGGGGUACACGAGUGGCGAACGGGUGAGUAACACGGGGGUGAUCUGCCCUGCACUUCGGGAUAAGCCUGGGAAACUGGGUCUAAUACCGGAUAGGACCCUGGGAUGCAUGUCCUGGGGUGGAAAGCUUUUGCGGUGUGGGAUGGGCCCGCGGCCUAUCAGCUUGUUGGUGGGGUGAUGGCCUACCAAGGCGAUGACGGGUAGCCGGCCUGAGAGGGUGACCGGCCACAUUGGGACUGAGAUACGGCCCAGACUCCUACGGGAGGCAGCAGUGGGGAAUAUUGCACAAUGGGCGCAAGCCUGAUGCAGCGACGCCGCGUGAGGGAUGACGGCCUUCGGGUUGUAAACCUCUUUCAGCACCGACGAAGCGCAAGUGACGGUAGGUGCAGAAGAAGGACCGGCCAACUACGUGCCAGCCGCCGCCGUAA